RNAcentral lists this signal recognition particle RNA (297 nucleotides) under Colius striatus (speckled mousebird). RNAcentral's name for it is "Metazoan signal recognition particle RNA". It matches the Rfam family "Metazoan signal recognition particle RNA". From Rfam's summary of the family: The signal recognition particle (SRP) is a universally conserved ribonucleoprotein. It is involved in the co-translational targeting of proteins to membranes. The eukaryotic SRP consists of a 300-nucleotide 7S RNA and six proteins: SRPs 72, 68, 54, 19, 14, and 9. The record is from Rfam by way of RNAcentral. Lineage: Eukaryota; Metazoa; Chordata; Aves; Coliiformes; Coliidae.
CCUGAGUGGUGGCACACCCCUGUAGUCCCAGCUACUUGGGAGGCUGAGCCCACCGGGUCGCUGAGCCCAGGGGUUCUGGGCUGCAGUGCGCUAUGCCGAGGGGGUGUCCAUGCUAAGGCUGGCAUCAAUAUGGUGAGCCAUGGGGAGCCGAGGCACACCAAGUUGACUAAGGAGGGGUGAACUGGCCCAGGUUGGAGACGGAGCAGGUCAAAGCUCCCGUGCUGGUCAGUAGCAGGAUCAUGCCUGUGAAUAGCCACUGCAGCGUAGCCUGGGCAACACAGAGAGACACAGGUUCCU